Molecule: ribosomal RNA, 169 nt
Filed under: uncultured Bacillota bacterium
Lineage: Bacteria; Bacillati; Bacillota
Description: uncultured Firmicutes bacterium partial 16S ribosomal RNA
Rfam family: Bacterial small subunit ribosomal RNA
Source: RNAcentral
CCUACGGGAGGCAGCAGUGGGGAAUAUUGCACAAUGGGCGAAAGCCUGAUGCAGCAACGCCGCGUGAGUGAUGAAGGCCUUCGGGUUGUAAAGCUCUGUCUUUAGGGACGAUAAUGACGGUACCUAAGGAGGAAGCCACGGCUAACUACGUGCCAGCAGCCGCGGUAAU